GGGGGUUUAGCUCAUUUGGUAGAUGUCCUGCUUUGAUAGCUGGAUGUCAGCGGUUCGGACUCCGCUAACCUCCACCA
This 77-nucleotide transfer RNA is filed under the name Leptolyngbya sp. R11-2. Its description in RNAcentral is "tRNA-Ala". Lineage: Bacteria; Bacillati; Cyanobacteriota; Cyanophyceae; Leptolyngbyales; Leptolyngbyaceae. The record is from RNAcentral.